RNAcentral lists this small RNA (106 nucleotides) under Salmonella enterica subsp. enterica serovar Heidelberg. RNAcentral describes it as "partial RtT sRNA". It matches the Rfam family "RtT RNA", at positions 26 to 130 of the family's 130-position model. Rfam says of the family: This family represents a bacterial cis-regulatory element known as RtT RNA. The exact function of RtT is unknown although it is thought that it may be involved in changing the cellular response in relation to amino acid starvation. Lineage: Bacteria; Pseudomonadati; Pseudomonadota; Gammaproteobacteria; Enterobacterales; Enterobacteriaceae. The record is from RNAcentral. RNAcentral also lists the same sequence under 1 other name.
GAAGCUUCGACUAAGGUUCGAUUCGAGCGCAGCGAGAACGCGUUGCCGCAGGCAACGACCCGAAGGGCGAAGCGCGCAGCGCUGAGUCAUCCUUCCCCCACCACCA